AUUGAACGCUCGCUGCAGGCUUAACACAUGCAAGUCGAGCGGGGAAAGGUAGCUUGCUACCUGACCUAGCGGCGGACGGGUGAGUAAUGCUUAGGAAUCUGCCUAUUAGUGGGGGACAACAUUCCGAGAGGAAUGCUAAUACCGCAUACGCCCUACGGGGGAAAGCAGGGGAUCUUCGGACCUUGCGCUAAUAGAUGAGCCUAAGUCAGAUUAGCUAGUUGGUGGGGUAAAGGCCUACCAAGGCGACGAUCUGUAGCGGGUCUGAGAGGAUGAUCCGCCACACUGGGACUGAGACACGGCCCAGACUCCUACGGGAGGCAGCAGUGGGGAAUAUUGGACAAUGGGCGAAAGCCUGAUCCAGCCAUGCCGCGUGUGUGAAGAAGGCCUUUUGGUUGUAAAGCACUUUAAGCGAGGAGGAGGCUACUUAGAUUAAUACUCUAGGAUAGUGGACGUUACUCGCAGAAUAAGCACCGGCUAACUCUGUGCCAGCAGCCGCGGUAAUACAGAGGGUGCGAGCGUUAAUCGGAUUUACUGGGCGUAAAGCGUGCGUAGGCGGCUUUUUAAGUCGGAUGUGAAAUCCCUGAGCUUAACUUAGGAAUUGCAUUCGAUACUGGGAAGCUAGAGUAUGGGAGAGGAUGGUAGAAUUCCAGGUGUAGCGGUGAAAUGCGUAGAGAUCUGGAGGAAUACCGAUGGCGAAGGCAGCCAUCUGGCCUAAUACUGACGCUGAGGUACGAAAGCAUGGGGAGCAAACAGGAUUAGAUACCCUGGUAGUCCAUGCCGUAAACGAUGUCUACUAGCCGUUGGGGCCUUUGAGGCUUUAGUGGCGCAGCUAACGCGAUAAGUAGACCGCCUGGGGAGUACGGUCGCAAGACUAAAACUCAAAUGAAUUGACGGGGGCCCGCACAAGCGGUGGAGCAUGUGGUUUAAUUCGAUGCAACGCGAAGAACCUUACCUGGUCUUGACAUAGUAAGAACUUUCCAGAGAUGGAUUGGUGCCUUCGGGAACUUACAUACAGGUGCUGCAUGGCUGUCGUCAGCUCGUGCCGUGAGAUGUUGGGUUAAGUCCCGCAACGAGCGCAACCCUUUUCCUUAUUUGCCAGCGGGUUAAGCCGGGAACUUUAAGGAUACUGCCAGUGACAAACUGGGGGAAGGCGGGGACGACGUCAAGUCAUCAUGGCCCUUACGACCAGGGCUACACACGUGCUACAAUGGUCGGUACAAAGGGUUGCUACCUAGCGAUAGGAUGCUAAUCUCAAAAAGCCGAUCGUAGUCCGGAUUGGAGUCUGCAACUCGACUCCAUGAAGUCGGAAUCGCUAGUAAUCGCGGAUCAGAAUGCCGCGGUGAAUACGUUCCCGGGCCUUGUACACACCGCCCGUCACACCAUGGGAAUCUGUUGCACCAGAAGUAGGUAGUCUAACCGCAAGGAGGACGCUUACCACGGUGUGGCCGAUGACUGGGG
This 1458-nucleotide ribosomal RNA is filed under the name uncultured bacterium. RNAcentral describes it as "bacterial SSU rRNA". It matches the Rfam family "Bacterial small subunit ribosomal RNA". The record is from RNAcentral.